RNAcentral lists this long non-coding RNA (1034 nucleotides) under Mus caroli (Ryukyu mouse). RNAcentral's name for it is "RIKEN cDNA 4930533B01 gene (MGP_CAROLIEiJ_G0003234.1)". Lineage: Eukaryota; Metazoa; Chordata; Mammalia; Rodentia; Muridae. The record is from RNAcentral.
ACAUCAACAGGAAAGGUAACUAAGACAGUGUAUGGAGAAUCACUGUGAUCUCUACUUUAACACUGGACCCGGGGGAUAGCAACCUUUUCAAACUUAAAAAGACCUAAGGAGGCUGGCGCAUUUCCAGUGUAGGGAGGAAAGAUUUCAGAAAAUCAGGGUUUGAGGAGAGCUUCAAGAUAACCUAAGUCUUGUCAUUUCCAAACUUAGCUAAAUAGCAACUUCUGGGGAGAUGUUCCCAAAUGUUCAUGUCAUAUAUUUAAGGAAGUAGAUGAGAACCAGGAAGAAUAAGAAGGCAAGAAAGUCCAGGUGUGAGAAACAGCAGGAUCACUGCAGUAGGUGCAGAGGGGGAGCUACAGAGAAGGGGCAGUAAAGGCUCCAGAGACAACUCAUUAAGAACUACCCUCAAAAUCUGAGAAGAAAAUCCCCAAAGACUGUCUGUAUGUAUGUUCAGAACUGCCUGCAGCCCAGCAGCCUGGUGAGGGUGUGGCGGUGGAGUGGUCUGGUUAUGAACCACAAGUUUGCAUUAGAUCAAGGAGAAGAGCUUCACUCUUCUAGACUCAGAAAGACUUUAUCCUAUGGAGAUUAAUUUAGGUUACAUUACCAUAGAUGGAGUCUCAGUCCAAACCCAGGAUGUCCUCAAAACUCACGAUCCUCUUGCCUCAGCCUCCUGUAGCCUGGGAUUAUAGACAUGGACCUCUGCACAUUGCUUGACUACACUCAGUCUUAAUUCUCUUGUUCCUGAAUGAGAUGAGACAAUGGAGUUCUGGGAAGACCGAAUGUCCCCAUCCACCAUCAGAGCUGGGUCUCCAUUCAGGUUCCCGACUCCCUGUGAGACACGUGUCGUGCUCUCCCCUUCAGUUGUUUGUGGGCACCGACACAGGCACCUCCCACACAGAACACUCACUUCCUCCCAUCCUCCUUCAGACUCACGUGUCACACAUGAGCAUGGGUCACCCCAGGAGGGCACACCAUCAUUUUUUCCCCUUCUUUCUUUCUGUCCACUUUCUACACAGAAAUGGGCUUGUAUGUACACU